AAGGAGUAAUAGUUUACGUCAAUUCAACAGAAGGAAAAUAAUUAUGAUAAAUCCUAGAAAUAAUAUUCAAUGAGCACUUGCAUGAUGGCUUUGCUAUUUCCAUCUGGUGAUCUUGUAUUUUUAGGUGUUGAGACGCUAUUUCUUAUAUCUAGUACCUAGACAUAAAUUGAAACAACAAGCAAAACAACAAGCAAUAAGUAACUCUAAGGAUUAAAGUAGAAAACUAAUAUAAUAAAUACAUUAAAUAUAAUGCAUUUACAUUUUUACAAUAGCUGAAAUUUCCUUCACUGCAACUGAAAAUAAGACUAUAUUUGCUCACAAAACACCCUUACUCAUAAAAGGAGAGAUUAUGUUUAAUAUACUGCAGAACAUUCAGAAUGCAUUUGGUUGAUGAAAAAAGAAAAGACACUCCAGACAUCAAGUAACUCAAGGAUCACGGUAUGAACCAAUAUAAUAUAUAUUGGUUUAAAUAAUAGAUCUUCAUUUUCACAAUAGCUGAAAUUCAAUUAGUAUAUAACACUUGUGAGAAUAAUCUGAGUUUCAAUACCUCGAAUAGAAGGAAGAAUGUUUUCAAUUUAAUUUUUUUCACUGAAGCAUAUUAUCGAACACUCUAACACUACAUUUUACAAAUGCAAGAAUAAGAUAUGUGGCAACAAUUGUAGAGAAGACUAAAAUGGUUUAGGACAACUAUAUCCUUCAAUAGUUUUCUGAGAUAAUUUCUCGAUUUGUGUGUAUCAUCUUUCAUGCAUGGGCGAUGCUAAUCUUCUCUGCAUCAUUCCUCAAAGGGACAUGUAUCCUUCUAUGGGUGUGUACUCUAAGCUUUGGUCCCAGGAGAUUAAUUUGAACUUGUUGCUAGGAAAUUUUGUCAAAAUGUUGUUAUAAGGUGCUGAUGUGGUGCCUAACUGCUAGGAUUUUAUAGUGUUUUACUUUCCAAUUGAACAAUUACUAUUAUGAACUAAAUUAAAUAGUAGUACAACAACAAAGUUUGUAGAUUACAGGAACUGAGGCUCUAACUUUAGUAAUCUGACUCUGAUUCUCUUUGUAUUAAAUUCAGUUUGAGAUAGUCCAAUGUGCUUGAGAAGAGGCUUUUUAAGUACGUAAUGCUCAAUGCAGUUUGGCUUCUACUCUGAAAUUGCAGUAUGCACUGAGUUUCACCUCAACUGAACAUGGGAGAGUGAGGUUGGGGAUAAACUGGCUAUUAAGUGGGAAAUACUUGUGAUAGAAGAAUUAAUCUAAUUAGCCGCUCACUCAACUUUUUAAAUUAUAAGUAGUCGGUAGAUAUAUAAUAUAUGUAUACUAUGUGUAUAAACAUAUAUAAAUAGUGGAUUAGCUAAUAGAGAUAGAUGACUAAUCACUAUUGUAUCAUUCCAUAUGAUACUACAAUUAAUUCAGGCAGACUAAUUAUUCUUCAACUAGCAGUUCCAUAGCUCGCAUAAGAAUUUAUAGCAGUAAAUGACAAUAAAACACCACUACACACAGCUCUUGAUUUAAUCAAUCAACUACGCCUCAAUCCUAAACUAGUUAGGGCCACUAUGCCAUCCUUGUACGCAUUCCACAAAUAUAACCUUAAACACCCAAAACUAAGGAUCUUUGCAUCCCUACCCUAACUGACCAAAAGAACUUCUAGCAAAUUUCAAUCAUAGAAAAGUCAGUUCCUUACCACACUGGAUACACAAAAUCUCCGGAAAAAUAAAGCUAAGAACAGAUCUAACAACUAAAGUGACGGAGCAUUGCAUAACCACAAAGAAACCGUAGAUCCACACAGAUACAUACACGCACAUAAGCAAAAAGGAUAGGAAAUAGAAAGACAUGGCUGAAAUUUCUUUGGAAUUGGGAGUUGCCAUCAACAAAGGCGGAUGGAGAUUAGCGAACUCUUUCGGGAGCUUCAUCGGAGACCUAGCGAGAAGAGGAUACGGAAAGGAGAGGAGAGGAGAGGGAGUCGCCGAGUACGACGAUCUAGUGAAUGCCGCCGAUGAUUUGUGCCAUAUUUGGUGGGAGGGAGAGGGAGAGAGACAAAAUGCAGAGAUUAGGGUUUGCUGGUGCCGGAGAAUGAGAUGUAGUUCUAAUUUGUGAGUUUACAUAGCUUUGCA
This 2090-nucleotide long non-coding RNA is filed under the name Nicotiana tabacum (common tobacco). RNAcentral describes it as "long non-coding RNA (NTAB_LNC008756)". The record is from RNAcentral. Lineage: Eukaryota; Viridiplantae; Streptophyta; Magnoliopsida; Solanales; Solanaceae.